RNAcentral lists this ribosomal RNA (512 nucleotides) under uncultured bacterium. RNAcentral describes it as "partial 16S ribosomal RNA". It matches the Rfam family "Bacterial small subunit ribosomal RNA", at positions 28 to 523 of the family's 1533-position model. The record is from RNAcentral.
GACGAACGCUGGCGGCGUGCCUAAUACAUGCAAGUCGAGCGAAUCUUUAAAAGCUUGCUUUUGAAGAUUAGCGGCGGACGGGUGAGUAACACGUGGGCAACCUGCCUGUAAGACUGGGAUAACUUCGGGAAACCGGAGCUAAUACCGGAUAAUCUAUCUCCUCGCAUGAGGGGGUGCUUAAAGACGGCGCAAGCUGUCACUUACAGAUGGGCCCGCGGCGCAUUAGCUAGUUGGUGAGGUAACGGCUCACCAAGGCGACGAUGCGUAGCCGACCUGGGAGGGUGAUCGGCCACACUGGGACUGAGACACGGCCCAGACUCCUACGGGAGGCAGCAGUAGGGAAUCUUCCGCAAUGGACGAAAGUCUGACGGAGCAACGCCGCGUGAGCGAAGAAGGCCUUCGGGUCGUAAAGCUCUGUUGUCAGGGAAGAACAAGUAUCGGAGUAACUGCCGGUACCUUGACGGUACCUAACCAGAAAGCCACGGCUAACUACGUGCCAGCCGCCGCGGUAA